Molecule: long non-coding RNA, 713 nt
Organism: Ostrea edulis (European flat oyster)
Lineage: Eukaryota; Metazoa; Mollusca; Bivalvia; Ostreida; Ostreidae
Exons: 2
Source: RefSeq, a predicted model, not a curated record
CCCCCCCCCCCCCCCCAAACAAAAAACAAAACGCAGUCUUUGUUUACAAGUAAAGUUACAUAAAAAUAGAAAAUAAAAAACUCAUGACAUGUACAACGAUAUCAUAUGUGAAAUCAAAACAAAACAAAACCAGUAUAUCGAGUAUUUUCAUAUGGGGGUUACUUGAUCCGCCUAUCGAAGCAUAAAAUGCGUCAUGAAUAUCUUACAACAGAUGACGUCAUGUCUCAUCGAUAACAUGUGGAUCGCUAUCUAUGAAUUGCUUACAUAAUUUACUGUCGGAUUUAACUCGCGGCAAUGCUGCAUGCUAUGAAAAAGUACAGGAAACCACACUUCUAGUUAGUUUUGAUGUUACCAGUCUUUAUACCAAAAUACCAUAUGACUUGGGACUAGAAGCUGUGAAAGUUUGGAUUGAGAAAUAUCCAAGAGACAUUAGCGAAAGAUUUUCUAAACACUUUAUACUUAAAGCUUUUCAAGUAGCUCCAGAGAAUAACCACUUUCAAUUUGACGAUGAUUUCUAUCUUCGAAUAAAAGGCACAGCUAUUGGUGAUUCCUACCUAUGCAAUCUUAGUAAUGGGUUGCUUGGAAGAAAAGGUACAGAAUAAACUUCCUGAGAUAUUUAUGUAAAUUUUGCACAAUAUAUUCGCCAUGAUUGGAAAAGAUACUUUGAUGAUAUAUUUAUCUUUGGAAUAAAACUACAGAACAGUGAAAUGUUA